Molecule: ribosomal RNA, 463 nt
Filed under: uncultured bacterium
Lineage: Bacteria
Description: partial 16S ribosomal RNA
Rfam family: Bacterial small subunit ribosomal RNA
Source: RNAcentral
GACGAACGCUGGCGGCGUGCUUAACACAUGCAAGUCGAACGGUGAACCUCUUCGGAGGGGAUCAGUGGCGCACGGGUGAGUAACACGUGGGCAACCUGCCCCCGGCGCUGGGAUAACUCCCAGACAUCGGGGCUAAUACCGGAUGUUCACCGCUUCCCGCAUGGGUGGGGGUGAAAAGGGUUUCCGGUUGGGGAUGGGCCCGCGGCCUUUCAGCUUGUUGGUGGGGUGGUGGCAUGCCAUGGCGACGAUGGGUAGCGGGCCUGGGAGGGGUACCGGCCACGCUGGGACUGAGACGCGACCCAGACUCCUACGCGAGGCAGCGGUGGAGUAUAUUGCGCAAUGGGCGGAGGCCUAACGCAGCGACGCCGCGUGGGGUAUAAGAGCCAUCGGUUUGUAUACCUCUUUCAGCAGGGACGAAGCGCAAGUGACGGUACCUGAAGAAGAAGCACCGGCCAACUACGUG